UACUCCUACGGGAGGCAGCAGUGGGGAAUAUUGCACAAUGGGCGCAAGCCUGAUGCAGCCAUGCCGCGUGUAUGAAGAAGGCCUUCGGGUUGUAAAGUACUUCAUCGGGGAGGAAGGCGAUAAGGUUAAUACCCUCGGCGAAUGACGUAU
RNAcentral lists this ribosomal RNA (150 nucleotides) under uncultured Leclercia sp. Its description in RNAcentral is "partial 16S ribosomal RNA". It matches the Rfam family "Bacterial small subunit ribosomal RNA", at positions 334 to 477 of the family's 1533-position model. The record is from RNAcentral. Lineage: Bacteria; Pseudomonadati; Pseudomonadota; Gammaproteobacteria; Enterobacterales; Enterobacteriaceae.